CUGACACAGGUGCUGCAUGGCGUGUCGUCAGCUCGUGUCGUGAGAUGUGGGUUAAGUCCGUAACGAGCGCAACCCUUGUCCUUAGUUACCAGCACGUUAUGGUGGGCACUCUAAGGAGACUGCCGGUGACAAACCGGAGGAAGGUGGGGAUGACGUCAAGUCAUCAUGGCCCUUACGGCCUGGGCUACACACGUGCUACAAUGGUCGGUACAAAGGGUUGCCAAGCCGCGAGGUGGAGCUAAUCCCAUAAAACCGAUCGUAGUCCGGAUCGCAGUCUGCAACUCGACUGCGUGAAGUCGGAAUCGCUAGUAAUCGUGAAUCAGAAUGUCACGGUGAAUACGUUCCCGGGCCUU
This 353-nucleotide ribosomal RNA is filed under the name uncultured Pseudomonas sp. RNAcentral describes it as "bacterial SSU rRNA". It matches the Rfam family "Bacterial small subunit ribosomal RNA", at positions 1029 to 1382 of the family's 1533-position model. The record is from RNAcentral. Lineage: Bacteria; Pseudomonadati; Pseudomonadota; Gammaproteobacteria; Pseudomonadales; Pseudomonadaceae.